This 29-nucleotide non-coding RNA is filed under the name Mus musculus (house mouse). Lineage: Eukaryota; Metazoa; Chordata; Mammalia; Rodentia; Muridae. The record is from RNAcentral.
UCCUUCCAAAAUAAAUUAUAGCUUCAGAA